CACAGCCUGGACCGGCCUGCCCCCGCCCAGCGAGCCUCAGGGGCCCAGCCGACAGCCAGGCUCACGCGCCCUUGAAAUCUGCCGGUACUCGCUCUGCGGGCUGGGCUGGGAGAUGACGAGGACCCCGGUGGGGUCUGCCCGCACCCGGCCAAAGCCCAGGAAGCUCGGGCCCCAGCGAGGAAAGGCGCUCCAAGCCUCCUCGCGGCUUUCAGAGGAACAGAAUCCCCAGCCCUGGUGAAGAAGAGGAUGCCUGAUGCGUGCACCCUGGGAAGGGCUGGAAUCGGUCUCCCCAAGAUGUGCCUUCACAUGGCUGUCCGGCAUUCGAAGGCUCAGAAAACAGUUUUCCAGGGUCCCGCAGCUGCAAUUCAGCAGCCACCGGCGCCUCCUGACCGUGGUCCCACCGUAGCGCCGCCUGCGGAUACGGUUCCAGUGAACCGCCGAUUGAGCGCAGUCUCAGCUCCCGCGCCUCCUCGCAGCCUGGCCCCGCGCCUCGGAGGUCCCGACAGCCGGCGCGAGCAAUCUACACGGCUCUGAUACAGACGCUUUUCUCCCCAGGGCCGGGAAUCCUGCAACAGCGGCAGAAGCCGCCCGCGCCUCGGGCUUCCGGCGGCCCAGCUCUACUAGGGAAGCGUCGCGGCUGCUCUGAGGCAGGCAGCGCUUCGCUAGAACCACUCAGCUCGUCCCGCGCCGCCGCCGGCUGCCUGAACCAGGUUCCGCUGUCCCCUUUCCUAGCGGGACCCCGAAACACCCGGCGGCUUCCCGCUCCUGAGCGGGAGAGAAUAGAGCUUGCUGCAACCCUCUGCUUGGAGGGAUGGCCUCUGCGGUGCUUGGCUAGCAAAGGGAAGCUUCACUGUGUCUAUUAGUACAUCCCCAUACACUCCACGCCUCAACAACUGUCAGCACUCACUCCCUCCCGGCCCCUCACAGGGCCCUUUGCACCCACACCUCAGGGACUCGGUGUCCCUCCACUCAGGUCACGUUACUCCAUCCACUUCUCUCUCCUUCUCCCUCUGUCAACUCCAAAUCCCCUCUAGUUCUCCCUCCCCUCCUACUUCUCUCACACUCACCAGCUACACGUACUAAUUCAGAUUUUGCACAUGUUGGUGGAAAACAUGUCAA
This 1119-nucleotide long non-coding RNA is filed under the name Homo sapiens (human). RNAcentral's name for it is "HSALNT0061167". Lineage: Eukaryota; Metazoa; Chordata; Mammalia; Primates; Hominidae. The record is from RNAcentral.